UCCCCCAGCACCAGGCUUACCAGCCAGCUGGGGGAAGGGCUCUCACGGAAAAGGCAGCCUUCAAGGUUAUGAUACAACCACGCAAGGGGGUGGUAAUGUGGACUUGUUGGGGAACCGCGCGGGUGGGUGGAGCCAGAGCGCCUUGGGAUUCUGACGCGUCUGAGUAGGCAUCUGCAGGUUCCCGGCUGGAUGACCUUGAGCAAGUUUACCUGCUCUGCUCUGUCGGAUGGAGGAUUAAAUGAGAUCAUGGAACGUUAUUCAGCCAGAAAAAGGGAUGAAGUCCUGGUGCAAGUUACAACACCUGUGAACUUUGAAAACUAACUGGAAGAAGCCGGACACAAAAGGUCACAUACUGUACGAUACCACGUAUAUGAAAUGUUCGGAAUGGAUUGCCCUUUCGUGGCAUAUUUAAAGAGUCUCCGAGGUAAAUCUCAGUGAAACAAUGGCCACACAGUCCAUCAGGAGCGAAGCCAGGAGCAAGCUUGCAGAGAGGAAGCAAGCAUGUGGUUAUUUCCUUUUCUGGCAGCUGUGACGGCAUGAAGAAACAAAAAGCCAGUAAACUGAGUCAGGGCUUAUGGCUUAUGGCAGCAUAUUUUAAAGAUAAUUUAAGAUUGAAGGCUUUGUCUGAACUGUCACCUCUUCCCUUCUAACAUACCCACAGACAAACACAAACACAUGCCAACAACAGUGAGGAAUUAUUUACAGGGUUCUCUCUCAGCUGAGCU
Molecule: long non-coding RNA, 725 nt
Organism: Zalophus californianus (California sea lion)
Lineage: Eukaryota; Metazoa; Chordata; Mammalia; Carnivora; Otariidae
Exons: 3
Source: RefSeq, a predicted model, not a curated record